RNAcentral lists this transfer RNA (75 nucleotides) under Bacillota bacterium. RNAcentral describes it as "Firmicutes bacterium (hot springs metagenome) tRNA-Asn". It matches the Rfam family "tRNA". From Rfam's summary of the family: Transfer RNA (tRNA) molecules are approximately 80 nucleotides in length. Their secondary structure includes four short double-helical elements and three loops (D, anti-codon, and T loops). The record is from RNAcentral. Lineage: Bacteria; Bacillati; Bacillota.
UCCGGUGUAGCUCAACGGUAGAGCAGGCGGCUGUUAACCGCAAGGUUGUAGGUUCGAAUCCUACCACCGGAGCCC